GACGAACGCUGGCGGCGUGCUUAACACAUGCAAGUCGAACGGAAAGGCCUGCUUUCCCUUGUGGAUUGCGGGUACUCGAGUGGCGAACGGGUGAGUAACACGUGAGUGAUCUGCCCCCAACUUGGGUAUAAGCCUGGGAAACUGGUUCUAAUUCCCGAUAGGACUGCAGGGUGGUGCCUGUGGUGGAAAACGAUUUUCUAGUGGUUGGGGAUGAGCUCGCGGCCUAUCAGCUUGUUGGUGGGGUAAUGGCCUACCAAGGCGGCGACGGGUAGCCGGCCUGAGAGGGUGGACGGCCACAUUGGGACGGAGAUACGGCCCAGACUCCUACGGGAGGCAGCAGUGGGGAAUAUUGCACAAUGGGCGGAAGCCUGAUGCAGCGACGCCGCGUGGGGGAUGACGGCCUUCGGGUUGUAAACUCCUUUCGACCGAGAGGAAGCCACCUGGUUGGAAGGGUGGUGACGGUAGUGGUAGAAGAAGCACCGGCUAACUACGUG
Molecule: ribosomal RNA, 494 nt
Filed under: uncultured bacterium
Lineage: Bacteria
Description: partial 16S ribosomal RNA
Rfam family: Bacterial small subunit ribosomal RNA
Source: RNAcentral